RNAcentral lists this ribosomal RNA (253 nucleotides) under uncultured bacterium. RNAcentral's name for it is "partial 16S ribosomal RNA". It matches the Rfam family "Bacterial small subunit ribosomal RNA", at positions 524 to 776 of the family's 1533-position model. The record is from RNAcentral.
UACGAAGGGGGCUAGCGUUGCUCGGAAUGACUGGGCGUAAAGGGCGCGUAGGCGGUUUGUACAGUCAGGUGUGAAAUUCCCGGGCUCAACCUGGGGGCUGCACUUGAUACGUAGGAACUGGAGUGGGGAAGAGGGUCGUGGAAUUCCCAGUGUAGAGGUGAAAUUCGUAGAUAUUGGGAAGAACACCGGUGGCGAAGGCGGCGACCUGGUCCUUGACUGACGCUGAGGCGCGAAAGCGUGGGGAGCAAACGGG